Molecule: ribosomal RNA, 117 nt
Filed under: Gouania willdenowi (blunt-snouted clingfish)
Lineage: Eukaryota; Metazoa; Chordata; Actinopteri; Blenniiformes; Gobiesocidae
Source: RNAcentral
UACUGUGGUCAUACCAGCUGGUCAUUGCCUGAUCUCGUUGAUCUCAGAAGCUAAGCAGGUCUGGGCCUGGUUAGUAGUUGGAUGGGAGACCACUGAGAAUUCCAGGUGUCACAGUGG